RNAcentral lists this unclassified non-coding RNA (370 nucleotides) under uncultured Cantharellales. Its description in RNAcentral is "sequence contains ITS1". The stretch from base 1 to 105 matches the Rfam family "5.8S ribosomal RNA", at positions 50 to 154 of the family's 154-position model. Lineage: Eukaryota; Fungi; Basidiomycota; Agaricomycetes; Cantharellales. The record is from RNAcentral.
GAAUUGCGAUAAGUAAUGUGAAUUGCAGAAUUCAGUGAAUCAUCGAAUCUUUGAACGCACCUUGCGCUCCCUGGUAUUCCGGGGAGCAUGCCUGUUCGAGUGUCGUAAACUUCUCAAUCCUAACUGGUUUUUAUGAGCUAUGUUAGGAUUGGAUUUGGGCUUUGCUGCGUCAAAUGCAGCUGGCCGUAAAAGGAUUAGCUGAAUCUUGUCUAAUUGAAGACUGGUUUGACUCGGCGUAAUAAUUAUCUGCCCGCUGAGGACAUCGCAAGAUGGCCAGACUUUGAGACUGAGAGUCGCUUCUAAUCGUCGUUUAUUCGACAGAUUUUCACCCUUUGACCUCGGAUCAGGUAGGACUACCCGCUGAACUUAA